CCUACGGGUGGCACCAGUGGGGAAUAUUGCACAAUGGGCGCAAGCCUGAUGCAGCCAUGCCGCGUGUAUGAAGAAGGCCUUCGGGUUGUAAAGUACUUUCAGCGAGGAGGAAGGCGUUAAGGUUAAUAACCUUGGCGAUUGACGUUACUCGCAGAAGAAGCACCGGCUAACUCCGUGCCAGCAGCCGCGGUAAUACGGAGGGUGCAAGCGUUAAUCGGAGUUACUGGGCGUAAAGCGCACGCAGGCGGUCUGUCAAGUCGGAUGUGAAAUCCCCGGGCUCAACCUGGGAACUGCAUCCGAAACUGGCAGGCUAGAGUCUUGUAGAGGGGGGUAGAAUUCCAGGUGUAGCGGUGAGAUGCGUAGAGAUCUGGAGGAAUACCGGUGGCGAAGGCAGCCCCCUGGACAAAGACUGACGCUCAGGUGCGAAAGCGUGGGGAGCAAACAGGAUUAGAUACCCGCGUAGUC
Molecule: ribosomal RNA, 465 nt
Filed under: uncultured bacterium
Lineage: Bacteria
Description: bacterial SSU rRNA
Rfam family: Bacterial small subunit ribosomal RNA
Source: RNAcentral